UACGUAGGGGGCGAGCGUUGUCCGGAGUUACUGGGCGUAAAGCGCACGCAGGCGGUCUGUUAAGUUUGGAGUGACAGUUGGUGGCUCAACCACCAAAGUGCUUUUGAAAACUGAUAGACUUGAGGGCUUCAGAGGGACACGGAAUCCGGGUGGAGUGGUGAAAUGCGUAGAGAUCCGGAGGAACACCAAAGGCGAAGGCAGUGUCCUGGGGAGUACCUGACGCUCAGGUGCGAAAGCCAGGGGAGCGAACGGG
This 253-nucleotide ribosomal RNA is filed under the name uncultured bacterium. Its description in RNAcentral is "partial 16S ribosomal RNA". It matches the Rfam family "Bacterial small subunit ribosomal RNA", at positions 524 to 776 of the family's 1533-position model. The record is from RNAcentral.